Long non-coding RNA from Leptinotarsa decemlineata (Colorado potato beetle), 1432 nucleotides. RefSeq lists it as uncharacterized. NCBI's taxonomy places the organism in Eukaryota, Metazoa, Arthropoda, Insecta, Coleoptera, Chrysomelidae. The record is from RefSeq and is a predicted model, not a curated record.
CCAUAUUUAUUUUUACGUCACUGUAGACAAACAACAUAUAUAUUCAAAACACUGCCUCCUGAUAGUCCUGAUUUCGAUUUUACUUUCUUUUUCUCGUUCAACAAAUUAUCGAUUUUUUUCAUGACCCUGUUAAAAGCCGAUGAAUAAAGGUAAAGGAAAGGUUUCAUGAUUUCAUUGAAUUCAGAUUUCAUGUGCGUCAUAGGAUAAAAAAGGAACACUGGUAAAUGUAGAAUCUUGUCUACAACCCUGCAAUGGAAAUUUAAAUUUAUUGUUAUUUGAUGUUGGAUUGGAAGUAAUCAGCUUUAGGGAAACUCAAUAAUGGCCAGUAGUGCUAAAGAAUAUAGAAGCACAAUCCAGAGAGAGGUCGAAUAUGUUGAUGAUGUUUGUCCAACAAAUACUUAAAAGAUGAAUUCAAAUUUGAAAUGAUGGUUGAAUGUGGGGGUUACAAUUAUACUAGCAAAUUUAAAGUGAGGAUGGCAUAGGUGUUCUUUCCCAUUAUCUCAAAUCUGAGAAGUGUGUGGAAGUAGGAAAAAGAGGUUCACAAUGUGAGGAGUGUACCAAUUUCAAUAGUCCAGCAGACUUCAGCCCAAAAGGUUUCAGAUCCAGCUAUAACUUUCGAGACCAAAAAGAGUUGGGUGUUGUACAAGAUCCAGAACUCAUCUCUUUUGAAACAUUAGCAGAAACAAUGAUUAGGAAAAAAGAAGAGGCUUUCAAUGAAAAUAUCUCAAAAAAACUAUAUAAAAACAAGUUUGCUGUGGAAAAUAAUCACAUUGUGAAACAUGAAAAAAUACACUCAACUAGGGAGAAGAGUGAAUUAUUCAAUCUUUAAUUCUGUUUGAAAUCAAUUGAAGAGAGCAGAUUUCAUGAGCAAAACAAAAUUUACUUUAAAAAUACAAAUGAGAUAAAUGAAAAAAGUAGCUUGAAGAACUAUAAAAAAACUCAAGAGAAAAAUUUCACUGUGAAAUCUGCUUGAAACCUUUUAUUUGUAGGUCAGAUCUUAUCAUUAACUCAAGAACUCAUAGAGAGAAAAAGUUUGAUUGUAAAAUUUGUUUAAAAUCUUUCGUCAUAAUGGAACUUCAAGAGAACACAAUAAAACUCACACUGGAUUAAAACCAUUUCAAUGUAAAAUAUGCUCAAUAUCUUAUAUGCGUAAGGGAUAUUUUAUAAUUCACUCAAGAACUCCUACAGGAGAAAAACCGUUUAAAUGCAAAAGUUGCUCAAAAUCUUUCAGUCAGAGUGGAAAUUUGAAUAAGUAUGAAAGAACUCACACUAAGGAGAAGCCAUCAAUGUGAAAUAUGCUUGAAUUUUUUCAUUUAUAGGUCAAAUUCAAUCAUCCACUCAACAACUCAUACAGGAAAAAAAUUUUUUUAUUGUAAAAUUUGUUCAAAAUGUUUCAUUGAUAAUAAAACUUUGAGAGAACAUGGAAAUUUGU